Molecule: transfer RNA, 76 nt
Filed under: Legionella pneumophila
Lineage: Bacteria; Pseudomonadati; Pseudomonadota; Gammaproteobacteria; Legionellales; Legionellaceae
Also listed under: 91 other names
Description: tRNA-Glu(ttc)
Rfam family: tRNA
About the family: Transfer RNA (tRNA) molecules are approximately 80 nucleotides in length.
Source: RNAcentral
GUCCCCAUCGUCUAGAGGCCUAGGACAUCGCCCUUUCACGGCGGUAACGGGGGUUCGAAUCCCCCUGGGGACGCCA